UAUAUAGUAUGUCUUGUACUUCCUGGUCCACAGUGGAUAUAAUGUGAUGUUGUUGUUAAUGCAAUAAAGAUGAUCUCAAAGCUGCAACUACGUGUAUUUUUAAUUAUAGUAGCGACACUUUUUAAGCCAGUAACAGCACAGAUCAAUCUUGCUUUACAUGGAACAGUAGCACAAGCAACAACAUAUACAGACGCCGGUUUUUCAUACAAUGCAAACUUGGCAAUAGAAGGGCCUGCGAAUAAUAAUUGGGAAGAUGGAUGUUCAUCUACAGGUUAUCAACCGAUGACAUGGUGGGGUCUAUUUCUUCCCAGACUAGCCUACGUUACAAAUGUUAGGAGUUAUUACCGGAAAGAUGAGCCACGGCGCAUGAACGAUUUCCGGUUGUACUUUGCAAAUAGCAGUGUAUAUACAACAACAGAACUGUGCCACAGAGAUUGGCAACAACAGGCAUACCUUAACCUGAAUCAGAGUAUAUAUUGUGACUUAAGCCCUACCAAGAAUGUUUACUUUUUCAACAGAAAUACGUUUAUCGAAUUAUGUUACAUAGAAAUAUUAGGAUGUUGGAAAGGUUCGUGGGGAACGAACUGCACAAAUGCAUGUCCACUUAAAUGUAUUGACCAGCGAUGUCAUCCUGUCAACGGCUCGUGUGCUUGGGGAUGCGACCCACACAACUGUUUUAAUAACACAUGUGAUAUACAUACAGGGGCUUGUACUGAAGGAUGUGUAGAUGGCUGGGUAGGAAAGUACUGUAACACGAAUAUACAGCACCAAUAACUUUUGGGAUGCAGUACACGGAACAAAUACUGGUUAUUACUCGCCUGAAAGCACUGAGUUGUAAACUGAAUUAGUUACGUCUGUUUGUAUUACUGAUGAUCAAUUUUUGCAAAUAUCUUUAACACAUUAACAUUUAUGUAUGAUAUGUUGUAAAUUCAAAAGUGAAUUGACAACGCAAGAUGUGUCUAAUUGUUGUAAAUAAUUAAUUGAAAAAAAAGAAUAUAGUUAACUAUCGGUUCACUCCAUUCUCCAAAAGUCACAUUUUGUUUAAUUUUAUCAAAGUUUUGAAUAUUUCCAAAUAUGUUUCUCAAAGAUACAUAGGAGGGCGUACAAACAUGUAGAAUAACUUACUACUUCCUCCUUAUCUCAACAGCUAACUAAAACUACACGUCCUAUUGGUUUUUACAGCAAUUUUAAUUUUAUGUAGGACAAAGACAUGUCUCAACAACAGCUACACGACUUAAACCAUUAAAACAAUUAAUGAUUUCAAACAGCAGACUUCCUUAUUGUUUGCAAGAGGUUCAAUGAAUGUAGGUUGAGACCAAAACUUUACGACAAAAGGGAUAAUUUCAGAUUUCCAAUUGUGAUGUUUCCAUUUCUAGUAGCAUCAUUCCAGCAUCGCCUUCAUAUGGAGUACAUAUCUCUCAGUUAAUAGAAUAUUCCACAGCUUGCAGGUACCGUUAGGAUGUCCUUGGCAGAAGAUUGCAGCUAACACGGAAGCCUUUGAAUCAGGGGUACCAAGUGGUAAAGUUUAAGUCAUCGCUUUAAAAGAUUUACGGUCAUCACGAGUUGUUUGACCGCAAUGUAUUAUCUCUGCUACGGAUGACAACGUAUAUGUUCCAAAGAAUAAUAACCCCACAAUAACAAGUAUCAAACAAUAAUAAUAAUCACAGCAUUUGAUCGGUAAAUAUUACAAAUUGAUGCAGUCUCAAACAGUUAUAUUAUUUGUUUUCAUUUGAUGGAUUACAAAAAGGUAAAUAGCCUUUUGAGUAUUAUCUGCAAAAACUUCGAUGUA
Molecule: long non-coding RNA, 1789 nt
Organism: Mytilus californianus (California mussel)
Lineage: Eukaryota; Metazoa; Mollusca; Bivalvia; Mytilida; Mytilidae
Exons: 6
Source: RefSeq, a predicted model, not a curated record